This 253-nucleotide ribosomal RNA is filed under the name uncultured bacterium. RNAcentral describes it as "partial 16S ribosomal RNA". It matches the Rfam family "Bacterial small subunit ribosomal RNA", at positions 524 to 776 of the family's 1533-position model. The record is from RNAcentral.
UACGUAGGGUGCGAGCGUUAAUCGGAAUUACUGGGCGUAAAGCGUGCGCAGGCGGUUGUGCAAGACAGAUGUGAAAUCCCCGGGCUUAACCUGGGAACUGCAUUUGUGACUGCACGGCUAGAGUGUGUCAGAGGGGGGUAGAAUUCCACGUGUAGCAGUGAAAUGCGUAGAUAUGUGGAGGAAUACCGAUGGCGAAGGCAGUCCCCUGGGAUAACACUGACGCUCAUGCACGAAAGCGUGGGGAGCAAACAGG